UACAGAGGGUGCAAGCGUUAAUCGGAAUUACUGGGCGUAAAGCGCACGUAGGCGGCUUGGUAAGUUGGAUGUGAAAUCCCCGGGCUUAACUUGGGAAUUGCAUUCAAGACUGCCUUGCUAGAGUGUGGAAGAGGAAAGCGGAAUUCCAGGUGUAGCGGUGAAAUGCGUAGAUAUCUGGAGGAACAUCAGUGGCGAAGGCGGCUUUCUGGCCCAACACUGACGCUGAGGUGCGAAAGCGUGGGGAGCAAACAGG
Molecule: ribosomal RNA, 253 nt
Filed under: uncultured prokaryote
Description: partial 16S ribosomal RNA
Rfam family: Bacterial small subunit ribosomal RNA
Source: RNAcentral